This 543-nucleotide ribosomal RNA is filed under the name uncultured bacterium. RNAcentral describes it as "bacterial SSU rRNA". It matches the Rfam family "Bacterial small subunit ribosomal RNA", at positions 777 to 1320 of the family's 1533-position model. The record is from RNAcentral.
AAUAGAUACCCGGUAGUCCACGCCGUAAACGAUGAGUGCUAAGUGUUGGGGGUUUCCGCCCCUCAGUGCUGCAGCUAACGCAUUAAGCACUCCGCCUGGGGAGUACGGUCGCAAGACUGAAACUCAAAGGAAUUGACGGGGGCCCGCACAAGCGGUGGAGCAUGUGGUUUAAUUCGAAGCAACGCGAAGAACCUUACCAGGUCUUGACAUCCCGGCGACCACUAUGGAGACAUAGUUUCCCCUUCGGGGGCAACGGUGACAGGUGGUGCAUGGUUGUCGUCAGCUCGUGUCGUGAGAUGUUGGGUUAAGUCCCGCAACGAGCGCAACCCUUAUUCUUAGUUGCCAUCAUUCAGUUGGGCACUCUAAGGAGACUGCCGGUGAUAAACCGGAGGAAGGUGGGGAUGACGUCAAAUCAUCAUGCCCCUUAUGACCUGGGCUACACACGUGCUACAAUGGACGGUACAAACGGUUGCCAACCCGCGAGGGGGAGCUAAUCCGAUAAAACCGUUCUCAGUUCGGAUUGUAGGCUGCAACUCGCCUACA